This 500-nucleotide ribosomal RNA is filed under the name uncultured Glomeromycotina. RNAcentral describes it as "partial small subunit ribosomal RNA". It matches the Rfam family "Eukaryotic small subunit ribosomal RNA", at positions 591 to 1092 of the family's 1831-position model. Lineage: Eukaryota; Fungi; Glomeromycota. The record is from RNAcentral.
CCAAUAGCGUAUAUUAAAGUUGUUGCAGUUAAAAAGCUCGUAGUUGAAUUUCGGGAUCAAUAUAUCGGUCGUGCCAUCGGUACGUACUGGUAUCAUUGGUUUCUCCUUUCUGACGAACCAUGAUGUCAUUAAUUUGGUGUCAUGGGAAGUUAGGACUGUUACUUUGAAAAAAUUAGAGUGUUUAAAGCAGGCUAACGCUUGAAUACAUUAGCAUGGAAUAAUGAAAUAGGACGUUCGAUCCUAUUUUGUUGGUUUCUAGGAUUGACGUAAUGAUUAAUAGGGAUAGUUGGGGGCAUUAGUAUUCAAUUGUCAGAGGUGAAAUUCUUGGAUUUAUUGAAGACUAACUACUGCGAAAGCAUUUGCCAAGGAUGUUUUCAUUAAUCAAGAACGAAAGUUAGGGGAUCGAAGACGAUCAGAUACCGUCGUAGUCUUAACCAUAAACUAUGCCGACUAGGGAUCGGAUGAUGUUAAUUUUUUAAUGACUCAUUCGGCGCCUUACG